GUGCUCGCUUCAGCAGCACAUAUACUAAAAUUGGAAUGAUACAGAGAAGAUUAGCAUGG
Bison bison bison is the source of this 59-nucleotide small nuclear RNA. The record is from Ensembl. Lineage: Eukaryota; Metazoa; Chordata; Mammalia; Artiodactyla; Bovidae.